UGUGGAUUGAGUUGAUAAGUAGGUGAUGUUUGUAUGUGGUAAUGGUUGCAUGUAAAUGAUAUAUUGAUAUCUUGUUUAUGGUUGAAUUGGUUGUAUGAAUAUGCUUAGAUUACUGUAGCUUGUUGUGUAGGUUGGUGCAAGUAAGGGUGGCAAUAUGGCUUGGUAAUUAGGCUUAUUUUUCCCACACGGGUAGACACACGGGCGUGUGUCUAGGCCGUGUGUGACACACAGCUUGUCCAAUGGGUGUGUGAUCCGGC
RNAcentral lists this long non-coding RNA (257 nucleotides) under Gossypium barbadense (sea-island cotton). RNAcentral describes it as "long non-coding RNA (GBAR_LNC005430)". Lineage: Eukaryota; Viridiplantae; Streptophyta; Magnoliopsida; Malvales; Malvaceae. The record is from RNAcentral.